RNAcentral lists this small RNA (148 nucleotides) under Pongo abelii (Sumatran orangutan). Its description in RNAcentral is "Metazoan signal recognition particle RNA (ENSPPYG00000040569.1)". The record is from Rfam by way of RNAcentral. Lineage: Eukaryota; Metazoa; Chordata; Mammalia; Primates; Hominidae.
GCCAGGUGUGGUGGCUCAUGCCUGUAAUUUUAGCUACUCAGGAGGCUGGGGUAGGAGGAUCACUUGAGCCCAGGAGCUCAAGGCUGCAGUGAGCUAGGAUCGCACCACUGCACUCCAGCCUGGGCAACAGAGUGAGACUCUGUCUCAA